This 529-nucleotide ribosomal RNA is filed under the name uncultured bacterium. RNAcentral's name for it is "bacterial SSU rRNA". It matches the Rfam family "Bacterial small subunit ribosomal RNA", at positions 979 to 1509 of the family's 1533-position model. The record is from RNAcentral.
UCUUGACAUCCAGCGAACUUUCCAGAGAUGGAUUGGUGCCUUCGGGAACGCUGAGACAGGUGCUGCAUGGCUGUCGUCAGCUCGUGUUGUGAAAUGUUGGGUUAAGUCCGCAACGAGCGCAACCCUUAUCCUUUGUUGCCAGCGAUUCGGUCGGGAACUCAAAGGAGACUGCCGGUGAUAAACCGGAGGAAGGUGGGGAUGACGUCAAGUCAUCAUGGCCCUUACGAGUAGGGCUACACACGUGCUACAAUGGCGCAUACAAAGAGAAGCGACCUCGCGAGAACAAGCGGACCUCAUAAAGUGCGUCGUAGUCCGGAUCGGAGUCUGCAACUCGACUCCGUGAAGUCGGAAUCGCUAGUAAUCGUGGAUCAGAAUGCCACGGUGAAUACGUUCCCGGGCCUUGUACACACCGCCCGUCACACCAUGGGAGUGGGUUGCAAAAGAAGUAGGUAGCUUAACCUUCGGGAGGGCGCUUACCACUUUGUGAUUCAUGACUGGGGUGAAGUCGUAACAAGGUAGGCGUAGCGAG